Molecule: non-coding RNA, 21 nt
Organism: Caenorhabditis elegans
Lineage: Eukaryota; Metazoa; Nematoda; Chromadorea; Rhabditida; Rhabditidae
Source: Ensembl
UGAAUACUGCCUUUGUGAAUC